UUUUAUUAUUUGUUUGUAAACCUACUAUCUCUGUAAACAUUGCAGGUAUGCUCCCAAAGGCCCUGAUGGUGUGUCCAAAAUACUGGUGGGAGGUGACAGGCUCACUGAGGCAAACUGUCGAAACAUACAGUGUGCCUUUGCAGAUGGAAACACCAAUGAAGAGAGGCUUGAAGGCAUGGUGUUCAAGUUUGAGGACUGGCAUGCCAUUCGAGUGCUUUUUGAGAUACACUACAAGGUAUUCUUCAGUGGCAAGUCUGGCAAGGACCAUGGCACGCUGUGUGCCAACAUGACAAAGUUAAGUUGUGACAACGCACAAAAAGAAACACAUUUGCUCCAAUCAUCGUCUUUUGUAAUGUGUUUCAAUAACAAUUGCACCACUUUCCACUAUAGAGUGACCCCCUGCAAAUCGGGUCUAUGAAUUGACAAGUCUGGUGCAGCAAUGCCAAGCAGGGUCCCCGUGCUGACUACAAUGCCUACAAGCACUUCUUCACCACUGACACAACUGCACUUUUCCUAGCGGCUGCUGUGGAUCUCUUUGGGUUAAAAGAUGUUGACGAAAUACCAGAUUCGUUUGUACCAGAGGAAAUACAAUCUGCUGCACCUGACUUAAGGAGAGCCUGGUUACAUGAAAGAACAUCUGAGGUGGUGGACAAGUGCAUCAUGCUUGGGGAUGUGCCACAGGCUGUUGCUGGUGUCACUGAAUCCCCCCGAACUCUACUCAUAAGCAACAUCCAUGUAGAGCUCAUGGUUGUCAACAAAGUUACACCUAUCUCAAAUCCCGAGACAACCAUGAGAUUAAAAAGCAUCACAUACAGAUGUCUUUGACAGAAUUGCAUGAACACACAACAUCUUCCAACCGUGAUCACAAACAAGAACACACCUUGGCGCGGCUUAGCUUUGGGUUCUUUCUCAUGGACAUGUUGGAUGCUGUUAAAGAGGGUGAUGGGGAGAGACUAAUGAGGUUGUACAGGGUAGCCCUACUGUAUUACAAAGCAUACGGUCACAGCCAUUAUGCCUACAGUACCUUUCUACUGACGCUGCAGGUAAACGCAUCUCUGACACCCCACAUGGCACACAGGGUAACCUGGAACAGGUUUUGGAGCACCCGGGGUGGGAAGGGUUGCAACAUACCUCUUGAUCUUCAUCUGGAACACCUGAAUAACUUCCUCAAGUUUUUCCUGAAGGGUCUGGGUCCAAAUUUGUCUGAAGAAGCAGCACGUCGGUCAGUCAGUGCAUUGGUUUUUUUAGAGGAAUGAUGGACAAAGUAGAUGGAGAGUUGGGUGUCAAAAGUCCAACUGGCACCCAUCGUGCUGCACAGCAAGAAACUGAUGUUUUAACACUGGUAGAGGUUUUCAAGGAGGAGCAGUUGUUUAAAGUUAUUCAUGGUAGACAGUUUCAGGCCUUCCCAGGCUUUGAUCAAAAUCUUCUGCGGAUUAAACAAAGAUCUCUGGCAGUGGAUGAACGGAAAACUGAAGGAGUGGAGAAAUCGGAAAAUAUGAAGGGCACACUUUGAAACACUAUAAGGUCUGUAGACA
Molecule: non-coding RNA, 1535 nt
Organism: Nothobranchius furzeri (turquoise killifish)
Lineage: Eukaryota; Metazoa; Chordata; Actinopteri; Cyprinodontiformes; Nothobranchiidae
Source: RefSeq, a predicted model, not a curated record